Molecule: long non-coding RNA, 1964 nt
Filed under: Homo sapiens (human)
Lineage: Eukaryota; Metazoa; Chordata; Mammalia; Primates; Hominidae
Description: non-protein coding ASH1L-AS1:1
Source: RNAcentral
GGGACUUCCCGGUAGGCUCAGGAUCCCCCUCCCUGCUCUCCCCUCCCCCAUCUUCACCACUGCUCUCUCAGAGAUCCAGGUCCGGGAGAUGACAGUGGCUCCCAGAAAGCCCAGGAUUCAAUCGCUGAGAGAGUGCUUAGGCCCGAAUGCCGGCCCAAAUCGUUCUACUCACCGUGUCGGAGGCCGAGGCCGAGGCCGAGAGCGAUGAGAGUGCAGGGAAGUGGGGAAGAGGGGGUGGCCGCCAGGCUCCUCCGCUUCCCUGGGUCCACGGCGGAUCCCUCCCGCUUGUCAGGAGGCGGCCAGCGGGUAAGCUGACUGGCGGAAAUGCGAGAGAGGAGAAGGGAAAGGUGGAAGGCUAAAGGGGGCAAACUGAGGGGAGGCGGGUCCCGCAACCGAGACUGGGAUCGUCUCCCCUCCGCAAAGCGAACCCAAAAUGGCGGCGGGAGCGGCGGCGGCGGCGGCGGCAGCAGCAGAGUGGCGGCGGUGGCGGCGGCAGCUCCUCCAGAGGGAGGGAGCGAAGGGCGCCUAGCGCCCCCCUCAACCUUCCACUCCUUCCUCCUUGCGUUCUUUCCCACCGUCCCCCGCUCCGCCCGACUCCGUCCGCGUAGCGCGCACGCCCGCCCGCACGCGUACGAGUGUCUACGGGCUCGUCGCUGGCUGCUCCCACCAACCACCACCUUCGGCCGCCCCGCGCGCCAGCCAGCCCGUACGCGCUCACCCACAGGAACCCCCUCGUCCAGUCCCUCACUACCCCUCAGGCCCUGUCAAGCCGGCGCCGGCGCAGGCCCUCACGCGUACCUUCAACGGCGCAAGCCCAAGCCUCCUCCUCCUCCUCCUCCACCUCCUCUUCUCUCCUCCCCCCCCUUCCCCGCCCCCACGGCCACCAACCGCCGCCACGGCCGCCGCCGCCGCCGCCAGCCCCCCCUACCACCCUCCACCCCUCGCGCGUGCGCCUCCCACAAUCCCCCCCGCGGGACUGUUCCAUUCCUGUCGGCUGCAGGGGCAGGAGAGGAAGGGACGGGCCGAGCGGGUCGGGGCUUGCCGUUUGACUGGAAUUGCCAGAAUGGCGGACCGAGCCCCACGACAACCUACCUCCCUGGGCUCCUCGCCGCAGCGCUGCGGCUCGCCUCCCUCUGCUCCUCCUCCUCCGCCGGAUCGCGGCGAGCGGAUCGAGGACUGCCUAGCGCCCCUCUGCCCACCGGUGGUUGGAGGCCGCGGCGGCUGCGCGUUGAGUCGUUUCCUGCCGGUUGACCUGAGCCUACUUCGCAGUAGCAGGACCGCUGCUGUGGAGCUGGUCGCAGGCGGUGUGUGCCGGUCGCCUAGUCAGGAGAACUAGUCCUCGACUCACGGUGAGGGAAUGGACCGACACGGGUAUUGUACCGCUGAGGGAAAGGAGCGGGACUCCGGACCUCCAGGAGGUAGGGAGUGAGGCCAGUAGGACCGGCGCGCCUCCGGGGGGAUUCCUCCCGGGCGUUGAGUUGCCAACCUGGGACCCGAGGAAGAUCGGCGUGGUGGUGUGCUUUUUGUUGUUGUUAACCCUCCUCGGAUUUCUCGAAUUUCACACCACUGUCCAUAUGCGAUGAUGUUUGUUUGCCCUUGACGCACUUACUCAUGGAUGGUACUUCUUCAGCCUCGUUAGACAGCCUGGUGAUGGAGGAUGAAGAAACCAUGUGCUUUUCAUUCAGUUCUGGACUUAGUCUCCCUUUUCUUCCUUCAGCAAGUUAUUUUUGUUAGUUCCUUAUCAAAAAGUGUACAUAAAAAUUAGGCAACUCCAAACAUGCCUCCAGGGUUAAUGUGUGAAAUAAUAAGAUAAUAUAUGUAAAGUGGAAUUAGCUCCUAGGCAUAGGGAAAGUGCAGAAUAUUGCCGUGUUGUCAUUUACAGUUCUGUUGAUGUCGAUAACGUUUGUGGGUGUAAUUGGUAGUGUUCUGUCCCUCCAAGGAGUUAAUAAAACAAAGCAAACAUA